UGUAAAACAAUAUUUAUAGAGUCAUCGGUAAUUAAUUUUUUUUGUAAUGUAAAAACUAAAUAAAUUCAUACGUACUACAAUACAGAUAACCGGGAUAUGAAAUUUACUUUACAGUGACUCGUGGGCCCACAAGGAACAAAAGUGCAUAAAGGCAAUAAACCUACAGUUUUUGGAGUAGUAAAGCGGACUAUAGCCUUCGACGAUAUCAGCUAUCUACACACUAUCCUGAGCCUGAAAUGGGUGGAAAUGAGGGUGGUGAGAUUAUAUAAUCCCAGUGAGUAAACAAAUAUCAUCUAAAAUAUCUAAAGUCGAGUAAAUGGAGGCAAUUAAAAUAAAUCAUCAUACUGUAAUUUCAUUACCUUUCAACUUAUUUCAACCAAAUAAACAACUAGGCUUAUGAUUUCCUGAAAAGCUUGGCUCGUGCAAAAAAUCAUUCUCAUACUCAGUUAUCAGGGAUGCCUUGAUCGAGGGCUAUCCCAAUUGAGUUCGCCAAGGCUGUUAAAAAGUCAUUUACGCAUAAAUUAUGUUUUUAUUUUGAAAACAUAGGCGUUCCUUGGCGUUGGCUGAGUUCACCCUCACGUGGUGGUUUGUCGUGAAGUGAACUCUAAAAGUGUUAGCCUCAAGAGUUAUCUAUCCGCGCCUCUCAUGCAGAGGUAAGAUAUAACGGGGUUUACCGUGCCCCUCGAAUAGGUUGGUCCACCGAAACCCGCCCACUGCAGUAAGCUCAUCAUUAUCCCAUCAAUCAAUAAAAUUCAAUAACAUGAUAUGGCAAUUAUUGUAAUUCACAGCCUUUCAAGGCUAAAUACACUGUCAAACCCUAUUCUAUAAAAUAAUUACGACGUCAUUUACAUGCUCAAUAGAAUGUUUGCAUAUUUAGGAAGUUCGAGGAAUCGUUAAAAGACGAUAUUGCCCUUAAUGGUACCAUUAAGUCGAUUAAGCCUCGAACUAGUUCAAAUAGGAAUUUUAAGGUGAAAUUAAGAGUUUCACAGUUUAGGAAUGACUCAAAAUCGUAAUUCGGAGUUCGAGGAUCAAUUUGGAGUCAAAUCAAAAUUUUCACUAUCCAAGGGCAAAAUGGUCAUUUGCCACUUGGGGACAAAAUGAGAAUUUUUAGAAAAGAUUUUUUUUGGCCUCAUUUGACUUAUUGGAGUAUGAUUUGAAGUUUAGAAGUAAAAAAUUUUAAUUUCGGUAUAAUUUGGAGUAUAGGGGCGAAAUGGUAAUUUUGCCACCUCGGGGGCAAAUCGAUAAAUUUUCACCCCCGACACUUGUCAAGACCAAGGGAUUUUAUUCAUCAUGGAAAUAGAUAAACAUGAGAAAUGUGUGGUGGAGAAUUAAAGAAUUAAAAGUCAAAUAUUUAAAAUUUGAACCAAUAAGGAAAUGCCAUGUGUCAUGUUUUUAUUAUUUUAUUAUUUCUUUAUAAAAAGGCAAAAAAAUCAGCCCAUUUCUCCCAUAGUGAUCAGCCAAACAAGAAGAGAAGAGAAACCAAGGAAGAACAAACCCUAGGUGGAAAAAAUCAAAGAGAAAGUGUUAGAAUUCAAGGAUUUGAUCAAGCAAAGGUAAAAUUUCUUUGAUUUUGCUAGUGAUUUACCUUACCCAUGCAUUUUCCCUUACUUUCCAUGGUUAAAUUACAUGUUUUCAUGAUGAAUUCAUGGUUGGUCAAAAUGGGUAUGGAGAGAGAAUGAUCUUGGAUUGGUUUGAUUUUUAGGUAUGUUAGUGUUUUUAGGUGAUUAAUGAUGUGUAGCAUGAAAACAAGUGAAGAAAACCACCAAAGGUUUGGAACCCAUCAAUAGCCGAAUUCUCUAAGUGAAUAAUGAGGAAGAAUGGGAUGUUAUUCUAGGUGAUUUGAUUAAGAAAUAAUAGUUUUUGGUGUAGGAAUUAAUGAAUUAUGGAGAGAAAAUUAAGUAGGAAAAAUGACGGAGUUAGUUUACCAUUGUUGGCCGAAAGUUCCAAGAAGAAAAGUGAAGAUAAAUUUUGCCUAAUUGUGUGUUAAUUAGUUGUGCUUGGUGAAUUGAGGGAUUGGAAAAGAAAUGGAGCAAGUUGGAGUGAAAUUGGAUGCAUUGGCCAAUUUAUCGGAUGAAAAAUCGACUUAGGCCAAUACCGAGUCUAGAUGGCUUCCCGUGCAUUUUUCAUUUCAUAUCAUGCAUAUAUAUCGAGCCUGAAAUAACUUAUGACUGUUAGACACAAUUUAAUUGGAAUAUGUGUCAUGGAUUAUGGCUAGGUGGUGAGCAAUUGGAUACGAGUAAAGGACUGUACCCGCGGACUGAAAAUAGGAGUAUUUUUACUCCUAAUACUGUGAGUAAACCUAUUAUCGUCUGAAUUAUCUAAAGUGGUUUUUAUCCGAUUUUGUGAUUUUAUGAAAAAUGAGUUUAAAUGGUAAAUCUUUAUGUUUUAUAAACAAAAUGUGAUUUAAUAAAAUGAUUUCAUAAAAUUGUCUUGAAAUUGAAUGAUGGCUUUGAAAAUUUGAGUAAUUAGAGACCAUGUGAUUUAUUGUAAAUUAUGAUUUGAAUUAAAUGGCUUGUGAUAAAUUGGCAUGAUUGGCUGAAUUUAUACCUGUGUUGAAAAAUAUGAACUGUCUGUUUUGCCUUGAUAAAUUGGUUAGUAAUGUAAUUGCCAUGCUAUGCCAUUGAGAUUUGAUCAAUUGGUGGAUUAAAGAUUAGCUACUGCAGUGGUGGGGGGUUCCGUGGACCAGCCUAUUAGAGGGGCACGGUAAACUCCUUUAUAUUCUCACCUCGGUCGUAGAGGCGCAUAGGAUAUCUCCUAAGGUGGGCUUUUUGAGUGCACUUCACAUUAACCACCGCAUGAGAGUGAGACUCAGCCAACGCCAAGGAACAGUUGUGUGUCAGAUGCGAAAACAUAUUUAUGGGUAUGGGACAUAUAACAGCCUUGGCGGUCUUAGUGGGAUACCUUGACGAAGGUACCCGCGAGAAUGACUUUGGCAGGAGCCAAGUUUUGUGAAAUACAUAAGCCAAGUUGAUUAUUUGAGUAAAUUGAUUACUGAUGUUAUGAAAAACAUACUGGAAUGGAAUAUCUUGUCUCAAUUUACUCGCCUUUAGAUAGUUUAGAUGGUGUCUGUUUACUCACUGGGAUUAUGUAAUCAUAAUCUCACCCUUCUUCCUAUCCAUUUUUCAGGCUUAGGAUAGUUUGUUGAUAGUUGAUUAAGAUGUGAAUUAAUCUCGGAGUUGCAUCCUAGAAAGUAAGGGUUCGUAGCCCUACAUCUUCUUGGUCAGUUAGGGGCCCACGUGUCAUUGUAAAAGUAAUUUUAUACUUCAGUUAUCUGAUUUAAAGUAUGUAUGAACAUAUUUAUCUUUUACACCAUGUUUUUGGCGGGUUUCGGUAUUUUUGAAGAAAAAUGACGAAAAUGCCCUUGUGAGCCAAAAAAAAUAAUAUUUUAUUGUUUUGAUUUAGAAACAACUUAUGAUUUUCUUAAAAUGUGAGAUUUAAUAACUGUCGCUCACCGGGGAGAUGCAAAAGCUGAUGCUAAGCCUUGCGGGGUUUCGAUCGGCAUUCGGGGUAAUGAGUGCCUAUCGAGACGUUGCGGCGGUUGUCAUGGGCCCGAUGGGAGUUCCGGGUCGUGACAUACACAGUUCAUAUAUUUAAACACAAAUACCAAUUCAGCCAUUCUUGCAAAUAUUGUCAUAAGCUAGUCAAUUCAAACCGUGAAUUUACAACACCUCAAGUGGUCUCCAGUUACUCUAUUUUCAAAGUCAUCAUUCAAUUUCAAGACAAUUUAUAAAAUCAUUUUAUUUAAACACGUUUUGUUUGUAAAACAAAAAGAUUUACUAUUUAAACUCAUUUUCCAUAAAAUCCACAAAAUCGAAUAAAAACCACUCUACAUAAUUAAGACGAUAGUAAGGUUACUCACUGUACUAGGAGUUCAAUAUACUCCUAUUCCCGGUCUUCAGGCACAAUCUCUUUACCCUUGUUAAAGGGCUCACCACCUAUACAUCAUACAUGACACGAAUUUCAAUAAAUUGUGUUAAUUUAUCAUAAACUAUUUCAGGCUCUCUAAAUCUAAAUGAAUGCAUGCGAUGGGAUGCAAAAUGUCCGAUUAAUCACUUAAAUGUGAUAUUCGACCUAUGUCACACUAUACUCGGUCUAAUCGGCUAAAAUCUUCAAUUUAACUCCAAAUCAAUUCUUCUCACUUUCUACACUCCAAUUAUACCUAAAUUACCUUAGUGACUGUGAAUGAGAUUCAAUUUAUUAGUCCCGGGUCAAUAAUCAUACAUGUCUAUAUGUUAAGCAAAAAUUCAGAUUUUCACACAAAAAUUUCCCAUUUAAUUUCUAGCCUCACCAAACAUUAAAUAUCACCAAAAUAUCAUGAAAUAUCAUCAAUUUCAGCCACAAUAUCCUCCCUAGAAAAUUCGGCCAAUGAUGGGUAAUGGGAGAAAAUGAAUUUUUCUUGUUGGUUUGUUUCUAGGCAUGAUAAACUAACUAAUAACACUAACAUAACUUAGAAUCAAAUCAAUCCAACUUCAUUCUCUCUCCAUACCCAUUCCAACCAGCCAUGAAUUCACCAUGAAAACAUGAAAUCUAACCAUGGAAAAUGAAAAAGAAAUAUGGGUAGUGUAAAUCAUAAGUCAAAAUCAAAAAAUUUUACCUUUAUUAGCUUAAUCCCUUGAAAUCUCACACUUUUUCUUCAAUUUUCCCACCUAGGGUUCUUGUUUUUUUUCCUUUCCUCCUUUAAUCUUCUUUGG
RNAcentral lists this long non-coding RNA (4691 nucleotides) under Theobroma cacao (cacao). Its description in RNAcentral is "long non-coding RNA (TCAC_LNC003098)". The record is from RNAcentral. Lineage: Eukaryota; Viridiplantae; Streptophyta; Magnoliopsida; Malvales; Malvaceae.